AGAACGAACGCUGGCGGCGUGGAUAAGACAUGCAAGUCGAACGGGAUUUGUUUUGUAGCAAUACAAGACAAGUUCAGUGGCGUAAGGGUGCGGUAACACGUGGGCAAUCUGCCGAUUGAAGUGGGGGAUAGGCUCGCCGAAAGGCGAAUUAAUACCGCAUGUGGUUAAAGGGAGGAUUCGUCU
This 183-nucleotide ribosomal RNA is filed under the name uncultured soil bacterium. RNAcentral describes it as "partial 16S ribosomal RNA". It matches the Rfam family "Bacterial small subunit ribosomal RNA", at positions 26 to 197 of the family's 1533-position model. The record is from RNAcentral.